Long non-coding RNA from Sus scrofa (pig), 391 nucleotides. RefSeq lists it as uncharacterized. NCBI's taxonomy places the organism in Eukaryota, Metazoa, Chordata, Mammalia, Artiodactyla, Suidae. The record is from RefSeq and is a predicted model, not a curated record.
CAUCUCCUCCAGAGACAGGAAGUCUCAUGUGUUUUGCUAUUUAAUGAAGCAGGGACAUUCCUUGGUGUUUUCGCCGCACUCAGAGAAAGGAGAAGAGGUCCAUCCAUCAGACGGUUGAGAAAACUCUGGCUUGAAGACUUGAUGUUACUGCCUGAGGUCCUGUCGCUGGAGUGCCAGGCCGCGUCCCUCGGAGGUGGGCACAGAAGAUGCUAAGAUUUCCAGAAGUGGCUCCAGGAUCAAGAAAAAAGCAUCGCCUUCCCCUUUUUCCAAGCCCGGGGUAUAACUGUCUGAUUCUUUCCUAAAAAUACAAGGUACACUAUUGUGUUAUGGGCAGGAGCCAGAAGUCAGAAUAUACAAACGAAUCGUCAAUCCUGAAGCACUUACAUUUUCU